CCGGUUGUGGCAGGUAGCACUGUCUUUCUUAGGUUUUAGAACUGAUGAUCUUGGAUUCUUGAGUUCUUCAGAAAUGUCUCCAAAGGACUUUCCCAGCGUGUGUCAAACUACACUUUCCCUCUCAGAUUGUCACCCUUUCCAGUCCUUUGUCAAACUACUUUAUCAACUACCAACUGCAGUCAAUCAUGAUCACUAACAAGAAGUUAAUUGGACUUUGCCCGUUCAAGUUCCAAUGCCAUCGGGAGCCACCAAGCACCACUUAUUAAAAUAUUUGUAUCCUGCUGACCAACAAGAGAGCAGAUUGCUUAGAGGAGAGCUGCGGUUAACAGGUGUGGCAGGCGCACCACACCGACUGCGCGUGGCACCUUGCUGAAGCUGAGUUGAUUAUCUGGACGAAAGCAGUGAGAGACCAGCUACAUGGGUACCAGUCUCCACCUGCCAACAGGCGGCCACAAGCCAUGAAGCCAGUUAGCAGCCACCUGGUCUGACAGCAGCUGUGCUUAGGUUCAGAACCAGUAGGACCCAACCUGGCAAUCAGAAGUCUGCCAGACAGGAAGCCAGCGGGGAGCCAGGAAUGCCAUAGGAUGACCUAACAGAAGGUGAGAGAGAAGGAGGAAGCAAAGUGUAGACGAGCUCCUGGCAGGCGCUCCCUCUUGUUGGCAGUGUAUUGGUUCAAGGUGAGGCUGAACUUUAGGCACAUUUAAAGCAACAGAAAUGAACAAUUUGUUUCAGGCCCCCCUACCCCCCGCCCAGUCAGAAUAUUAUGAUAUUAUGUUCUUUAAUGUUAAGAUUAAGUUGUUUAUCAGGUUUUUUGGAUGCACUGUAUUACAACUUUAUUAAGGUAAAAAUGAUCCCUUUUCCCUUGUAAAAACGACAUAGUCACGUGUUGUGCGGGAGCACAGGCUGGAAGCUUUAGUGUCAGACCACACGUAAUCUACCUUAAUCAAAUGGUAAUGGUGUUAUUUGGCUCAAAUAAUGGAUAAAUAAAUACACAGAAAACCAUUUACAAUAAAUAAAGAGAUGAAUGAAAUGAUUUAUUUCAA
Dunckerocampus dactyliophorus (ringed pipefish) is the source of this 1043-nucleotide long non-coding RNA. RefSeq lists it as uncharacterized. NCBI's taxonomy places the organism in Eukaryota, Metazoa, Chordata, Actinopteri, Syngnathiformes, Syngnathidae. The transcript has 3 exons. The record is from RefSeq and is a predicted model, not a curated record.